RNAcentral lists this ribosomal RNA (192 nucleotides) under Neisseria meningitidis 69096. RNAcentral's name for it is "partial 16S ribosomal RNA". Lineage: Bacteria; Pseudomonadati; Pseudomonadota; Betaproteobacteria; Neisseriales; Neisseriaceae. The record is from RNAcentral.
UGUGUUUGAACCUGUUGAAAGCCGCCAACAGGCUAAGUGCGCCCGCUGCCGCCCAAAAGGCGACCGGAUGCCUGAUUAUCGGGUAUCUAGGGAGGAUUAAGGGGGUAUUUGGGUAAAAUCAGGAGGUGUUUGGGGCGAAAACAGCCGAAAACCUGUGUUUGGGUUUCGGCUGUCGGGAGGGAAAGGAAUUUU